AGAUGAUAUUUUUUUUUAGAAAAAUAAUUUUAAUCCUUCAACCCUAAUGCUAAAUAGGCAUAAUUUUAUAAACCAUUUUUAUAUAACAAUAAUGGAUUUAAAUUCUAUAUAUUUAUCAUUUAAACUUUAGUGGACAAUUUCAAUUUUCAAAUGCUCGCACAUUUAUUUAUUGGGCUAAGAAAAUGAGCCGAGCAGCUCGUGAGUUGCUCGAGAUUUUGCUCGAUAAAAGUUCGGUUCAGCUCGGUUCAUUUAAAAAAUAAGCCAAGUUCGAAUUUAAAUUUUAAACUCGUUCAAUAAAUGAACCAAGCUCAAACUUAACAGUAUUUAGCUCGUUAAUGCUCUUAAAUAAGCUUGUUUCAUACUCGCUAGUUAGUUUCAUA
RNAcentral lists this unclassified non-coding RNA (380 nucleotides) under Hevea brasiliensis (rubber tree). The record is from RNAcentral. Lineage: Eukaryota; Viridiplantae; Streptophyta; Magnoliopsida; Malpighiales; Euphorbiaceae.